Long non-coding RNA from Brassica rapa (field mustard), 2169 nucleotides. RefSeq lists it as uncharacterized. NCBI's taxonomy places the organism in Eukaryota, Viridiplantae, Streptophyta, Magnoliopsida, Brassicales, Brassicaceae. The record is from RefSeq and is a predicted model, not a curated record.
GCCUUCGUUAUCGCUUUCUUCUUCCAUGCUUGUGUCGUCUUCGUCUUCGAUCUUCUGUUUUUUAGAGACAGACGAGUCACCUUCCACCUCCGUCGAAUCUCGUUUCGCCGUCGCAUCCUCGGGUUUCAUCAUCGUUGCAGGAGAAUCGAACAAACCCUAGAAUUAUCCUCUCUCUCUCUCUCUAACACACAAAUUGAUUUGGGGACGAAGCAGAAGAUGACAAUAUUAAAUGAUACUCUUUGAUGUAUUUACCGAUUUGCCCUUAUACCUCCCUGCUAUUUUAACACGUCGUUUGGGAGAUUAUGAGGCUCUCAGCAUAUGGGCCAAACCCAAUAUAAGGCCCAAAGUAAUUUUACGACGUUUAGCUCGUUUGUCUGCCUGUCUGUAAUCAACAAAUGGCUCUUUCUGAUAGGGCUGGGCACAAAUGCUUGAUACUCGGUUCGGUUUGUACUUGUUACUUGACUUGGUUAGGUUUGAAAAAACAAGUAUUUGCUCUGUGUGUUUCUGAUUUUAUGAGUUUUUAUGUCAUUUUAAUUUUAAUUUUUAUGUACCAUUUUUUUUUAAAUCAUUCAACUUAAAAAAUAAAAAAUUAAGAACCUUAAUGAAGUUCUUUCAUUGGAGGAUAAAAAAAUCAAUUAGACAAACAAAAGUUUUUAACUUUUCAAAUCACAAAAUUAACUAAUAAUUUAUUCAUUAGAACCUCUUAUGCUUCUAACCAAUAGAUUUGCUCUAAGACCAUCAUUAUCGGGAAUCCUUAAUGGGAUCCUUAAAUAAAAGUGAUGAUUUAAUUAAAUCAAAACAAAAGAAAAGGGUUGUUACCGAUUCUUAAUGGGGCAUUUUGGUGAUCGGUUUUAAGUGUGGUUUUUCAACCACGUGUCAGCACCACAUAUUUUUAUUUUUUUUUCUUUGCUUUGUUUUGUUUUCUCCGUCGCGUCUCACCUCCGCCUUGGGUCUUCUUCAUCCUUGUCGACUCAGGCUUGGCUCGUUGUGGUGAUUGAGUUCGUCUUCAGGCCAGCAGCACCGGACUCGCCCUCUGACGAGAACUAACUCACUCAGGUUUGAAAAUUGUCCGAUUCUGUGAUUCCGUGUAUGCAAGAUUUGGUAUAACUUCCUCAUCAGAACCUCUGUUUUCGCCAUUACCAUUGCCAAAUCAGAUCCUGAACACGAUGAGGAAGCGUCAUCCCAAGGCGGCUUCAGAUUCGUCGUCAGAGCCAUCAUCUUCCACUCAACAAAACGAUAACAACCAUCGAUGUCCUUGAUAAGAAGGUGGUUAAUGUAAGAAGAUCGGGGAAAACGUGGUUCUCAGUGUUGAUCCUCAUCAUAUACUCCUCCUGGGCUGUUUACAAGGGAAGUCGCUUGUGUAUUCAGAUAUAAGUCACAUUGUAGUGAGGAUCAUGCCCAAGUAUGAAUCAGAAGCAGGAGAGAAUGCUAUCCUUGUCUCUUCUCACAUUGAUACUUUCUUAAACAGGUGGGGCUGGAGAUUGUAGCUCAUGCGUAGCUGUAAUGCUGGAGCUAGCGCGGUCUGUUUCACAGUCGGCUCAUAGAUUUAAGAACUCUGUGAUCUUCUUGUUCAAUACUGGAGAGGAAGAAGGUUUUAAUGGCGCUCAUAGCUUUAUUACACAGGUGAAUAUAACUCCGGUCGGUUCAUGACUUUAAACACGGCAAAGCCAUAGCCAAAGACUAAAAAGGUAUUGCAUUUUGAGACUUGGAAGCAUACGUUUUCUGAAUUUGCUUGCAAGUUGCAUCCUUUUGAAGUGAUCUCAAAUGUUGUCUUUUUGGUAUAUAGUGACAAAAUUAGAAUGGAUAUGUUAGAGUUCUUCUCGAGUGUGGUUUGUGUAAAGUGUGUUUUUAACUGUGGUUUGAAUAUGUUAAUCUGAGAGGAGGAGGCUUUGGCAAUCAAGGCAGCAGGGAAGGUGUGGUAGGCUGGUAGCAGAGUAUGAUCUCCGACAGCGACUACACCGAGUUUGAGAGUUGAAGUAAUCGACCAAAACUUUACUCUUCUUCAACUCUUUCUUUUUUUCUUUACUGCUCUUGUUAAUAAAUAUGUUAGAUUCAUGUCAAAAUGUUAGGAUUGUUUGCUUGAUUUGAUUAUGAUUGUUUGAGUUAGGUUGUGGUUAGGAUUUUUUUUUAAGAAUCUUUAAUUAAGAAACUACUAUUGGAGGUACAAAA